UGAGGCUUAUUUGGAUAAAGAGAGCUCUUAUUUUUAUUCAUUUUAUUUUGAAAAUGAUGUGCCAUGUCUAACAAACUGACCUAAUAGGAAUGAUGAUUGACACAAUAUGAAUCUUUCAGCACCACUAUUUUCAAUAUUCAAUCAACUAGGUAAAGAAAGUCUGAAACUUGAUCCAGUUUGAUAUUUGAAUGAGGUGGAGCUUAAGUCAGCUACAACACAUGUAUUAUU
RNAcentral lists this long non-coding RNA (228 nucleotides) under Capsicum annuum. Its description in RNAcentral is "long non-coding RNA (CANN_LNC004655)". Lineage: Eukaryota; Viridiplantae; Streptophyta; Magnoliopsida; Solanales; Solanaceae. The record is from RNAcentral.